GGAGUCGGCCAGACAGUCGCCGUCAUUCUUUAGAAUGGCAGAGGAAAGUCCGGGCUCCGCAGGGCAGGGUGCCAGGUAACGCCUGGGGGGCGCAAGCCUACGGAAAGUGCCACAGAAAAGAUACCGCCAACGGCCUCGGCCAAGGUAAGGGUGAAAUGGUGCGGUAAGAGCGCACCGCGCUUCUGGCAACAGAAGUGGCAGGGUAAACCCCACCCGGAGCAAGACCAAAUAGGGGAACCAUGUGCGGCCCGCACAGUUCCCGGGUAGGUUGCUUGAGGUGUGUGGCGACACACAUCCCAGAUGAAUGACUGUCCACGACAGAACCCGGCUUACCGGCCGGCUCCCACU
This 348-nucleotide RNase P RNA is filed under the name Candidatus Thiodiazotropha sp. (ex Monitilora ramsayi). RNAcentral's name for it is "RNase P RNA component class A". It matches the Rfam family "Bacterial RNase P class A". Rfam says of the family: Ribonuclease P (RNase P) is a ubiquitous endoribonuclease, found in archaea, bacteria and eukarya as well as chloroplasts and mitochondria. Its best characterised activity is the generation of mature 5'-ends of tRNAs by cleaving the 5'-leader elements of precursor-tRNAs. Lineage: Bacteria; Pseudomonadati; Pseudomonadota; Gammaproteobacteria; Chromatiales; Sedimenticolaceae. The record is from RNAcentral.